RNAcentral lists this ribosomal RNA (3006 nucleotides) under Salmonella enterica subsp. enterica serovar Poona. RNAcentral describes it as "bacterial LSU rRNA". It matches the Rfam family "Bacterial large subunit ribosomal RNA". The record is from RNAcentral. Lineage: Bacteria; Pseudomonadati; Pseudomonadota; Gammaproteobacteria; Enterobacterales; Enterobacteriaceae.
UUAAGCGACUAAGCGUACACGGUGGAUGCCCUGGCAGUCAGAGGCGAUGAAGGACGUGCUAAUCUGCGAUAAGCGCCGGUAAGGUGAUAUGAACCGUUAUAACCGGCGAUUUCCGAAUGGGGAAACCCAGUGUGACUCGUCACACUAUCAUUAACUGAAUCCAUAGGUUAAUGAGGCGAACCGGGGGAACUGAAACAUCUAAGUACCCCGAGGAAAAGAAAUCAACCGAGAUUCCCCCAGUAGCGGCGAGCGAACGGGGAGGAGCCCAGAGCCUGAAUCAGCAUGUGUGUUAGUGGAAGCGUCUGGAAAGGCGCGCGAUACAGGGUGACAGCCCCGUACACAAAAGCGCAUGUGCUGUGAGCUCGAUGAGUAGGGCGGGACACGUGGUAUCCUGUCUGAAUAUGGGGGGACCAUCCUCCAAGGCUAAAUACUCCUGACUGACCGAUAGUGAACCAGUACCGUGAGGGAAAGGCGAAAAGAACCCCGGCGAGGGGAGUGAAAAAGAACCUGAAACCGUGUACGUACAAGCAGUGGGAGCCCCACCACUAAGCCAGUGGUGAACUCCACAUACGCAUCCUUUGCUGAGGAUACGGUUAACGGAGCGAAAGCGACGUUCAACCUCAAAAGAAGCAGAGGGGGCUUAGUGGUGGGGUGACUGCGUACCUUUUGUAUAAUGGGUCAGCGACUUAUAUUCUGUAGCAAGGUUAACCGUAUAGGGGAGCCGCAGGGAAACCGAGUCUUAACCGGGCGUUAAGUUGCAGGGUAUAGACCCGAAACCCGGUGAUCUAGCCAUGGGCAGGUUGAAGGUUGGGUAACACUAACUGGAGGACCGAACCGACUAAUGUUGAAAAAUUAGCGGAUGACCUGUGGCUGGGGGGUGAAAGGCCAAUCAAACCGGGAGAUAGCUGGUUCUCCCCGAAAGCUAUUUAGGUAGCGCCUCGUGAAUUCAUCUCCGGGGGUAGAGCACUGUUUCGGCUAGGGGGCCAUCCCGGCUUACCAACCCGAUGCAAACUGCGAAUACCGGAGAAUGUUAUCACGGGAGACACACGGCGGGUGCUAACGUCCGUCGUGAAGAGGGAAACAACCCAGACCGCCAGCUAAGGUCCCAAAGUCAUGGUUAAGUGGGAAACGAUGUGGGAAGGCCCAGACAGCCAGGAUGUUGGCUUAGAAGCAGCCAUCAUUUAAAGAAAGCGUAAUAGCUCACUGGUCGAGUCGGCCUGCGCGGAAGAUGUAACGGGGCUAAACCAUGCACCGAAGCUGCGGCAGCGACGCUGAUGCGUUGUUGGGUAGGGGAGCGUUCUGUAAGCCUGUGAAGGUGGCCUGUGAGGGUUGCUGGAGGUAUCAGAAGUGCGAAUGCUGACAUAAGUAACGAUAAAGCGGGUGAAAAGCCCGCUCGCCGGAAGACCAAGGGUUCCUGUCCAACGUUAAUCGGGGCAGGGUGAGUCGACCCCUAAGGCGAGGCCGAAAGGCGUAGUCGAUGGGAAACGGGUUAAUAUUCCCGUACUUGGUGUUACUGCGAAGGGGGGACGGAGAAGGCUAUGUUGGCCGGGCGACGGUUGUCCCGGUUUAAGCGUGUAGGUGUGUGUUCCAGGUAAAUCCGGUUCACUUUAACACUGAGGCGUGACGACGAGGCACUACGGUGCUGAAGCAACAAAUGCCCUGCUUCCAGGAAAAGCCUCUAAGCAUCAGGUAACAUCAAAUCGUACCCCAAACCGACACAGGUGGUCAGGUAGAGAAUACCAAGGCGCUUGAGAGAACUCGGGUGAAGGAACUAGGCAAAAUGGUGCCGUAACUUCGGGAGAAGGCACGCUGACACGUAGGUGAAGUGAUUUACUCACGGAGCUGAAGUCAGUCGAAGAUACCAGCUGGCUGCAACUGUUUAUUAAAAACACAGCACUGUGCAAACACGAAAGUGGACGUAUACGGUGUGACGCCUGCCCGGUGCCGGAAGGUUAAUUGAUGGGGUCAGCGCAAGCGAAGCUCCUGAUCGAAGCCCCGGUAAACGGCGGCCGUAACUAUAACGGUCCUAAGGUAGCGAAAUUCCUUGUCGGGUAAGUUCCGACCUGCACGAAUGGCGUAAUGAUGGCCAGGCUGUCUCCACCCGAGACUCAGUGAAAUUGAACUCGCUGUGAAGAUGCAGUGUACCCGCGGCAAGACGGAAAGACCCCGUGAACCUUUACUAUAGCUUGACACUGAACAUUGAGCCUUGAUGUGUAGGAUAGGUGGGAGGCUUUGAAGUGUGGACGCCAGUCUGCAUGGAGCCGGCCUUGAAAUACCACCCUUUAAUGUUUGAUGUUCUAACGUGGACCCGUGAUCCGGGUUGCGGACAGUGUCUGGUGGGUAGUUUGACUGGGGCGGUCUCCUCCUAAAGAGUAACGGAGGAGCACGAAGGUUGGCUAAUCCUGGUCGGACAUCAGGAGGUUAGUGCAAUGGCAUAAGCCAGCUUGACUGCGAGCGUGACGGCGCGAGCAGGUGCGAAAGCAGGUCAUAGUGAUCCGGUGGUUCUGAAUGGAAGGGCCAUCGCUCAACGGAUAAAAGGUACUCCGGGGAUAACAGGCUGAUACCGCCCAAGAGUUCAUAUCGACGGCGGUGUUUGGCACCUCGAUGUCGGCUCAUCACAUCCUGGGGCUGAAGUAGGUCCCAAGGGUAUGGCUGUUCGCCAUUUAAAGUGGUACGCGAGCUGGGUUUAGAACGUCGUGAGACAGUUCGGUCCCUAUCUGCCGUGGGCGCUGGAGAACUGAGGGGGGCUGCUCCUAGUACGAGAGGACCGGAGUGGACGCAUCACUGGUGUUCGGGUUGUCAUGCCAAUGGCACUGCCCGGUAGCUAAAUGCGGAAGAGAUAAGUGCUGAAAGCAUCUAAGCACGAAACUUGCCCCGAGAUGAGUUCUCCCUGAGACUUUAGGUCUCCUGAAGGAACGUUGAAGACGACGACGUUGAUAGGCCGGGUGUGUAAGCGCAGCGAUGCGUUGAGCUAACCGGUACUAAUGAACCGUGAGGCUUAACCUU